ACGUCCUUGUGGCCUUGGUAUACCGGCGGGAUGAGCGUCGGGAACGUGAUCUGCUGCGCACGAUAGGUCGCGUAGAUGUUGAGCCUGUCGUAGUAGAUGCCAAUCUUGUCGUUAGGGUUUCGGGAGGAGAUGGUGACCUGGAAGCUGGAGGAGAAGACGUUGGAGGCGGAGGUGUUGAAGUUGAAGACGGUGACGUCUUGGAGGACGAAGCGGGGCUUGGAGGGCUGGAGGAUGGCCCACACGAUGAGGAUUGUGACAAGGAGGAUGAAGUUGAAGAUUAGGAGGCCAGCGCAACAGCGGCGGAACAUCCUCCGCCGCUUGUUUUGGCGAUGCAGUCCACAAUCCUUCGUUGACAUGGCGGUUGGUGUGGCAGAGAAAGUAGAGAAGAUGGUUGAGUUGAGUUUGUAGUCUCUGUCUCUC
Molecule: long non-coding RNA, 420 nt
Filed under: Malus domestica (apple)
Lineage: Eukaryota; Viridiplantae; Streptophyta; Magnoliopsida; Rosales; Rosaceae
Description: long non-coding RNA (MDOM_LNC013677)
Source: RNAcentral